RNAcentral lists this ribosomal RNA (468 nucleotides) under uncultured bacterium. RNAcentral describes it as "partial 16S ribosomal RNA". It matches the Rfam family "Bacterial small subunit ribosomal RNA", at positions 28 to 507 of the family's 1533-position model. The record is from RNAcentral.
GACGAACGCUGGCGGCGUGCUUAACACAUGCAAGUCGAACGGAAAGGCCCUGCUUUUGUGGGGUGCUCGGGUGGCGAACGGGUGAGUAACACGUGAGUAACCUGCCCUUGACUUUGGGAUAACUUCAGGAAACUGGGGCUAAUACAGGAUAGGAGCUCCUGCUGCAUGGUGGGGGUUGGAAAGUUUCGGCGGUUGGGGAUGGACUCGCGGCUUAUCAGCUUGUUGGUGGGGUAGUGGCUUACCAAGGCUUUGACGGGUAGCCGGCCUGAGAGGGUGACCGGCCACAUUGGGACUGAGAUACGGCCCAGACUCCUACGGGAGGCAGCAGUGGGGAAUAUUGCACAAUGGGCGGAAGCCUGAUGCAGCAACGCCGCGUGCGGGAUGACGGCCUUCGGGUUGUAAACCGCUUUCGCCUGUGACGAAGCGUGAGUGACGGUAAUGGGUAAAGAAGCACCGGCUAACUACGUG